GAGCCCUCUCCUCCUCCUCUCCUCCACUUCCUCAGCUGUGAAAUAGGAAUGAUGAUGAUGUUGAUAAUGGUGAUGAUGAUAGUGAUGAUGGUGAUGAGGAUGAUGGUGAUGAUGGUGAUGAUAAUGGUGAUGGUGAUGAUGAUGGUAAUGAUGGUGAUGUGAUGAUGGUGAUGAUGAUGGUAAUAAUGAUAUUGACGAUGAUGAUGAUUGUUACAAUGAUGAUGAUGGUGGUAGUGGUGAUGAUGGUGAUGAUGAUAGUGAUGAUGAUGGUGAUGGUGAUGAUGAUGGUGAUAAUGAUGAUAAUGAUGGUGGUGGUGAUGAUGAUUAUAAUGAUUAUGAGUAAUGAGAGUGAUGGUGAUGGGAUGAUGGUGAUGAUGGUGAUGGUGUUGGUGAUGGUGAUG
RNAcentral lists this long non-coding RNA (401 nucleotides) under Homo sapiens (human). RNAcentral's name for it is "HSALNT0371811". Lineage: Eukaryota; Metazoa; Chordata; Mammalia; Primates; Hominidae. The record is from RNAcentral.